This 252-nucleotide long non-coding RNA is filed under the name Homo sapiens (human). RNAcentral's name for it is "non-protein coding lnc-BMP2K-4:1". The record is from RNAcentral. Lineage: Eukaryota; Metazoa; Chordata; Mammalia; Primates; Hominidae.
AUGCAGAAGGACAGCGGCGAGCUUGUGGACCUGUACAUGCGGCAGAAAGUCUCUGCUAGUAACCGCGUCACCGGUGCCAAGAACCAUGCAUCCAUCCAGAUGAACGUGGUGGAGGCUGACAAGGUCACAGGCAGGUUUAAUGGCUAGUUUAAAACGUAUGCUGUCUGCAAGGUCAUUUGCAGGAUGGGUGAGUCAGAUGACUACAUUCUCUGAUUGGCCAAGGCCAGUGGCAUCAUCUGAAAACAUGUUUGA